This 3076-nucleotide long non-coding RNA is filed under the name Linum usitatissimum (flax). RNAcentral describes it as "long non-coding RNA (LUSI_LNC008038)". The record is from RNAcentral. Lineage: Eukaryota; Viridiplantae; Streptophyta; Magnoliopsida; Malpighiales; Linaceae.
CCAUAAUAAAAACACACAGACACAAACAGAAAUCUCUUGUUUACAUAUCUAGCCGGAAAUGGAAUAUAUUCUUCUAACUAAUCAAAUAGCCAAAAUAUUUUUUCCCACAUCGCCAAGAAGGAGUCAAUUGUGUUCAACUACGCGUACAACCCACUUAAAACCUAAAGUAACCCUGUAGUUGUACAAAUAGCUAAAUAGAAUGCCGUCACAAUUCACAAUAUCCUUUUGGUAAUGAAAAUAUGAGCACUGACGUCAACAAUAAAACUGAGCCGCAGAUUCUCCUCAAACUUGUGGUAGCUCUGCUUCUUCUUCUUCAGCUCAUAUUGGGUUCCGGAGUUGAGUCAGCACGUCCAUGUCGGCUUCUUCUGGAACCUUAUCUCCCCAGCUCUGGAAAUGGCGGUCUAAACGACGAUGAAGCUCAACCCACUAAUAUUAUUCAUCAAAAACAACCUAUCCCAUUCCCCAGUCCCGCUAACUUCCCUCCUUCGCGGCAGGGAAAGCCGUACAUAGGAAUUUGCCGGAGCUAUUCGCCGCCGGGAAGGCAUGGCUAAAUGAAUGAUAGGCCGGACCGCGUUCUCAUGUCCGGUGAAUAUUAAUUUUUCAAACUCGAUCUCGCUUUGAUUUGUUAUUUCUUUUUUCUUGGGAAAUGCACAAGGCUAUCAUAGUCUUAAUUGUUUAUAGUUUUUGUUGGUGCAACUUGGUAGUGAAUACUGAAUAAUACUGUCUUCCCUGUUAUGAAUUUUAUAAUAUGUACGUCGCCAGACCCACAAAUAUAUUGCUAGCUAGCCGACAUGCAAACUGCCAAUCUAUAUCGCCUCGGAGGGAAUUACAGUUGUGGUAGCCCACUAAUAAAUUUUAUUUCUACAAAUAGCCCACUCAUACAGUUCACGAUAUCCUUUCUUGUAAUGAAACUAUGAUGAGCACUGACAAGAACAAAACUGAGCCACAGAUUCUCUUGAUCAGACUUGUGGUAGCUCUGCUUCUUCUUCUUCUCAUAUUGGGUUCGGGAGUUGAGUCAGCACUCCCAGGUCGUCUUCUUCUGGAACCUAAUUAUCUCCCCAGUACCGGAAAUGGCGGUCUAAACGACGAACCUCAACCCGCUCAUAUCAUUCAUAAAAAACGACGUCUCCUCAGUCCCAGUACUAAUCCACCACGUCAGUACUACUGAUUCUUUCUUAAUUAUAUUAUUAUUCUGGCCGGCCUUUUCUUCCAGUUCUCCAGUUUCGUUUCAUUUCUAUAAGUAGCUAGUGAACGAUGAAUGCAUGAAGCUUGUGCCGUGGUUUACGCGCGUGUAGGAGUUGGCAAUUGUAGAUUUCCGCCGGCGCCAAAAGAAUCCACGGGGAGACGAGCUAGCCGGAGCGUUUCACCCCCAGGACGGCAUGGCUAAAUUAUCAAUGUGAUAGGCCGCUGGCCUGAACAUGUCCGGUAAAUAUUAAUUUUCCCUGCUGUGAAAGCAGAGUAAAUCAACUGUCCCUGAUUUCCUCUUCUUUUUUUUUUUGGUAAACGUAAUCCAAUUGUUUAUAUUUUCUUGUGACAAGUUGGUACUGAAUAAGACUGCUUCUUUUGUUUAUUACGGCAAUUCCAUAGAGAUGAAGCCAAAAGCGAACCAGCAAUAAUUCUAGGUAGCUGACAGAUAUGGCCAGAUGCCCACUUGCAGACUAUCCAACUCUACGGAAUGGAUGCUCGAACUCAAAUUGGAUUUCAGCACCAUGCUGAAACCAAAUAUAACUUUCUGCUUGUUUUUUCCCUUUGAUUCAAUGGUUUAAAUUUUUAUAGUGGAUAGUUUGUGAUUUUUAUAAAACCUUUUUUUUAAAAGCCAAAAUAUUUUAAUUUAAGUCCAGCUUUUAUGUAUUUUUUUACGAAGACGGAUUAAACGAAACAAAUCUUGAUAUUAUCCUGACGACUUUAAAAUACGGAUAGUUUUUACAUUUUCUUCUCUCUUCAACAAGUUAUGAUAAGCAUGUUUAAUCUUUAGUAUCGUUAUUUUCUUCUUAUUUUGAAACAUCUCCAAAUUUAUUAUUACAUACAAUAUAUUAUUACAAUGGGCUGCGUAAUAACGAACUACAGUCAACUGCUAUCAGUUGAGACUUGAGUGGCUAUGGCUCGGGUUACAGACCCAAUGACCUCUUUUCCCUAGCACGGGUUACUUGACUUCGGCCGAAUUUGCGCCAGGCCCAAACUUUGUGGCCCGCUUACUAUCGGCCCUCAUCUCAGCUGGUCCAAUUUAGGAGGAUCUUGUGUUUGGCCCAACGCGCUGAUUAGACCCAGUUUCAGGCUUGGCACUCUGGUUGUGAUUCUAGCCAGAUGUGGUUGUACCACAUGAUUUGACUGGUUACGGUCCAACCAUUGCAGUUAGUCUACUACAUAAGUUCAGUUUCAAAUUCUUAAAAACAAAAAUAAAAAAACCCGUCUGCCAUAAUCGGUUGGGAAAAUAUAAUAACAUUUUUUUUUUCAAAAUCGUAGAGCUGGAAACAAUAAUCACGUACGUCACGUUGAUGAAAAAAUUUCGUGGAACAGAGUCCUAAUCCUCAAACAAGUUUGCGAGGUAUCUGCAAGCAGCAGAUCGCCGAGCUGAGCUAUUUGGGGAUUCAUGAAUUGUAGAAACCAAUGUACACUUGUCAAAUUUCCAGAACAUACCAAACUAUAUAUAUUUAUUAAUUAUUCUGAUCCUUUUAUGUGUUUGCCUCCUGAGUAGGUUUGGCAGCAGGUCCGUGGGUUUCGGGUAUCCGUUAGAGCCCGUUUGGAUUGAGUUGAUUUGUGCCCACCAACCGUGGGGUCUUGUCGGUUUCGAGCACAUCCGCGCCCCGCCAAAUUCGGGCGACGGGCGGUCAUGGUUAAUGGGAUAUCCGACCCAUCACCGAUCCGAUAACAAAACAACGUCGUUUUGCCUAUGAUAUAUAAACAAUUUUUAGGGUUUCAGACUUCAGUUUGUGCUUUUCUUUCCGAGUUCAUUUCCCAGAGUUCUGGAAUCUGGGAAAAUUUUUUUAGCUCUGGAUUCAUAUUUGUCGGGUACUUUUUAUAUUUCAGUUUCUGAAUUCUGAGUAAUGAAAUUUCACAGUUUUUACUUUACAUUGAA